RNAcentral lists this transfer RNA (74 nucleotides) under Marmota monax (woodchuck). RNAcentral's name for it is "tRNA.Ala". The stretch from base 6 to 66 matches the Rfam family "tRNA", at positions 6 to 65 of the family's 71-position model. From Rfam's summary of the family: Transfer RNA (tRNA) molecules are approximately 80 nucleotides in length. Their secondary structure includes four short double-helical elements and three loops (D, anti-codon, and T loops). Further hydrogen bonds mediate the characteristic L-shaped molecular structure. tRNAs have two regions of fundamental functional importance: the anti-codon, which is responsible for specific mRNA codon recognition, and the 3' end, to which the tRNAs corresponding amino acid is attached (by aminoacyl-tRNA synthetases). tRNAs cope with the degeneracy of the genetic code in two manners: having more than one tRNA (with a specific anti-codon) for a particular amino acid; and 'wobble' base-pairing, i.e. permitting non-standard base-pairing at the 3rd anti-codon position. The record is from RNAcentral. Lineage: Eukaryota; Metazoa; Chordata; Mammalia; Rodentia; Sciuridae.
UUGAUUGUGGCUCAUAGGUAGAGCGCUUGUCUAGCAUGCAUGAGUUACUGGGUUCGAUCCUCAGCACCAUGAAA